GAUGAACGCUGGCGGCGUGCUUAACACAUGCAAGUCGAACGGGAAUUAUUUUAUUGCAACUUCGGUCGAUUUAAUUUAAUUCUAGUGGCGGGCGGGUGAGUAACGCGUGGGUAACCUGCCUUAUACAGGGGGAUAACAGUCAGAAAUGGCUGCUAAUACCGCAUAAGCGCACAGAGCUGCAUGGCUCAGUGUGAAAAACUCCGGUGGUAUAAGAUGGACCCGCGUUGGAUUAGCUGGUUGGUGGGGUAACGGCCCACCAAGGCGACGAUCCAUAGCCGGCCUGAGAGGGUGAACGGCCACAUUGGGACUGAGACACGGCCCAGACUCCUACGGGAGGCAGCAGUGGGGAAUAUUGCACAAUGGGGGAAACCCUGAUGCAGCGACGCCGCGUGAAGGAAGAAGUAUCUCGGUAUGUAAACUUCUAUCAGCAGGGAAGAUAGUGACGGUACCUGACUAAGAAGCCCCGGCUAACUACGUG
RNAcentral lists this ribosomal RNA (478 nucleotides) under uncultured bacterium. Its description in RNAcentral is "partial 16S ribosomal RNA". It matches the Rfam family "Bacterial small subunit ribosomal RNA", at positions 28 to 507 of the family's 1533-position model. The record is from RNAcentral.